CCUACGGGAGGCAGCAGUAGGGAAUCUUCCACAAUGGACGAAAGUCUGAUGGAGCAACGCCGCGUGUGUGAUGAAGGGUUUCGGCUCGUAAAACACUGUUGUAAGAGAAGAAUGACAUUGAGAGUAACUGUUCAGUGUGUGACGGUAUCUUACAAGAAAGGCACGGCGAACUACGUGCCAGCAGCCGCGGUAAUACGAAUGGUACCAGCGUUAUCCGGAUUUAUUGGGCGUAAAGCUAGCGGAGUAGGUUGUUUAAGUCCGACGUGAAAGCCCAUCGCUUAACGGUGGAAGUUCUUUGGAAACUGGAUAACUUGAGUGCAGUAGAGGAGAGUUGAACUCCAUGUGUAGCGGUGAUAUGCGUAGAUAUAUGGAAGAACACCAGUGGCGAAGGCGGCUCUCUGGACUGUAACUGACGUUGAGGCUCGAAAGUGUGGGUAGCAAACAGGAUUAGAUACCCUAGUAGUC
Molecule: ribosomal RNA, 465 nt
Filed under: uncultured Weissella sp.
Lineage: Bacteria; Bacillati; Bacillota; Bacilli; Lactobacillales; Lactobacillaceae
Description: bacterial SSU rRNA
Rfam family: Bacterial small subunit ribosomal RNA
Source: RNAcentral